CCGGUAGACACGGAGCUGAUGGCGGAGCGCGGCGCCGCGCUGCAGAGGCAGCGAUGCGAGGGAGUGUCACUGUAGCGACCGCCCCCUCCCGGCGACGAGUGG
Molecule: microRNA precursor, 102 nt
Filed under: Procavia capensis (Cape rock hyrax)
Lineage: Eukaryota; Metazoa; Chordata; Mammalia; Hyracoidea; Procaviidae
Description: miRNA (ENSPCAG00000019873.1)
Source: RNAcentral